GAUGAACGCUGGCGGCGUGCCUAAUACAUGCAAGUCGAGCGAACAGACGAGGAGCUUGCUCCUCUGACGUUAGCGGCGGACGGGUGAGUAACACGUGGAUAACCUACCUAUAAGACUGGGAUAACUUCGGGAAACCGGAGCUAAUACCGGAUAAUAUAUUGAACCGCAUGGUUCAAUAGUGAAAGACGGUUUUGCUGUCACUUAUAGAUGGAUCCGCGCCGCAUUAGCUAGUUGGUAAGGUAACGGCUUACCAAGGCAACGAUGCGUAGCCGACCUGAGAGGGUGAUCGGCCACACUGGAACUGAGACACGUGCCAGACUCCUACGGGAGGCAGCAGUAGGGAAUCUUCCGCAAUGGGCGAAAGCCUGACGGAGCAACGCCGCGUGAGUGAUGAAGGUCUUCGGAUCGUAAAACUCUGUUAUUAGGGAAGAACAAAUGUGUAAGUAACUAUGCACGUCUUGACGGUACCUAAUCAGAAAGCCACGGCUAACUACGUG
Molecule: ribosomal RNA, 497 nt
Filed under: uncultured bacterium
Lineage: Bacteria
Description: partial 16S ribosomal RNA
Rfam family: Bacterial small subunit ribosomal RNA
Source: RNAcentral